This 281-nucleotide unclassified non-coding RNA is filed under the name plant metagenome. RNAcentral describes it as "partial contains small subunit ribosomal RNA, internal transcribed spacer 1, and 5.8S ribosomal RNA". The stretch from base 1 to 50 matches the Rfam family "Eukaryotic small subunit ribosomal RNA", at positions 1782 to 1831 of the family's 1831-position model. The record is from RNAcentral.
GGAAGUAUCGUAACAAGGUUUCCGUAGGUGAACCUGCGGAAGGAUCAUUAUUGUAUAACCGAGGUGCGAGGGCUGUCGCUGACCCGAAAGGUCGUGCACGCCCGAGUGCCCUCACACACAUCCAUCUCACCCCUAUGUGCACCACCGCGUGGGUCCCCCUUUGGCUUGUUCGGAGGGGGGCUUACGUUUUCACACAAACUUUGUAUGCAGUGUAGAAUGUAUUUUUUGUUUUUGCGAUCACGCAAUCAAUACAACUUUCAACAACGGAUCUCUUGGCUCCC